GUUACUCGAUGGACAAGAAGAGGAAAAGCAGGAAUAAUAAUUAUGAUGCCAAACACACACACACAGACACACAGUUCCUCUGAAACAGCUGAUCCACACAGAAUCAGUGUAUAAAAGCUGUUUAAAUAUUUGAACAGCACGCUGCGGGGAGUACACACUCAGUCGUGCAGUAUUAUGUGAUUUGGGACACAACCAGCGCUGAGUGAACGACGUUAGCGAACCUGUCGCUCAGGCUAAAGCUAACGCUAACACUAACGCUAAAGCUACCCAGAGUGAUGGAGUUUUAUUCCUACUGUUACAUACGAGUGUUUACACACAGAGCGGAACUGCACGAGUGUGUCCACAGCCUGCUUAGUCUCACACACACACACACACACACACAGAGCUGGGGCUGCUGAGCAAGGACAAGAUGAUUGCACACAGAUCUGGGACACAGAUUUCCUCUCGUGCUCAAACUCCAUGGAGCUCCAUUUUGGAUCAAACCCACUUCACCAUCAUCACCACCACCAUCAUCAUCACCAUCAUCAUUAAGAUCAUCAUCAUCAUCAUCACCACUCCGUCAUCAUGGCACUGCAACCUCUUUUAAAGAAAUAGAGAAGAUCAGCUCUGAGUGACGGAGGAGGAGAUCUUCUGCGCUUCACGGCGUUUCAACAGGCGAAAAUAUUCCCUCAGCAUUACUGCGGCGGAUUAAUCUGCGCCGUCAGACACCCGGAGAGAGAGAGAGGGAGAGGGUCGAAUCCCACCCGAAGCGCGCAGGUUCCGAGGCGCCGCGCGCGCGCGCUCGCAUCCGAGAUGGACACCAACAAAUCCAGGAGGAGCUGCGAGAGGAACCGCACGGCCUCCGGGCUCUCCUGCUUCAGGAGCAAAGAAAGGGGAAGAGAUGCGGGCUGGAGGCUGUCACACUGUCUGCGGGACCCGCUCGGGAUCCCAGCAAAAAAAAAAAAGAAAAAGAAAAAGAAAGAAAAAAAGAAAAAAAAAAACAGAAAAAAGAAAAGAAACCCCAGCCCCGAUCUGAUCUGCGCCCUGCACGUCUCCGGUUCGAGCCCGAGCGCGUCGGCGGAGCGGAUCGGAGCCGAAAAGCGGCCCAAACGCGGCGGAAUAAACGGUGUUGUUCUGCUCCUCCGCUUCUCCAGACCUUCAGCGCUGCUUGACAGCAGCAGAUCCAAUAAAAGCACGCGCGAGGAUUGACCUACAGCCUCUAAUGACGUCAAUGCAAAUGAGGCCCGCCCGGCCAAUCGGACGAGAGCGCAGCCGGCCUGGGAGGAGCGCGCGUGCGGCGGCAGCUUUGAAAUGAGCACUUGGCUUUGAUGUGAGAUUUAGACCGGAAGUUCUUUUUACAUUUUGUUCCUCAAAACAGAUCUUUACACAGAUGGAUGAGUUCGUAUAUACACACACUACCGCUCAAAAGUUUGGGGUCAUUUUGAAAUUGAAAGAAAAGCACUGUUCUUUUCAAUGAAGAUCACUUUAAACUAAUCAGAAAUCCACUCUAUACAUUGCUAAUGUGGUAAAUGACUAUUCUAGCUGCAAAUGUGUGGUUUUUGGUGCAAUAUCUCCAUAGGUGUAUAGAGGCCCAUUUCCAGCAACUCUCACUCCAGUGUUCUAAU
Molecule: long non-coding RNA, 1604 nt
Organism: Neoarius graeffei (lesser salmon catfish)
Lineage: Eukaryota; Metazoa; Chordata; Actinopteri; Siluriformes; Ariidae
Exons: 3
Source: RefSeq, a predicted model, not a curated record